RNAcentral lists this ribosomal RNA (775 nucleotides) under uncultured Neocallimastigales. RNAcentral describes it as "partial large subunit ribosomal RNA". It matches the Rfam family "Eukaryotic large subunit ribosomal RNA", at positions 22 to 640 of the family's 3401-position model. Lineage: Eukaryota; Fungi; Neocallimastigomycota; Neocallimastigomycetes; Neocallimastigales. The record is from RNAcentral.
UGUACACGCUGUGACUAGCAUAUCAAUAAGCGGAGGAAAAGAAACUAACAAGGAUUCCCCUAGUAACGGCGAGUGAAGCGGGAAGAGCUCAAAUUUGAAAUCUUAAAGGGUUUCCCUUUACGAAUUGUAGUUUAAAGAAGUGUUUUCUGUUGAGGUUUUGGUAAAAGUUCUUUGGAAUAGGACAUCAUAGAGGGUGAGAAUCCCGUAUUUGACCUUUACUUUCAACUUUGUGAUACACUUUCAAAGAGUCGGAUUGUUUGGGAAUGCAGUCCAAAAUGGGUGGUAAAUUUCAUCUAAAGCUAAAUAUUGGCGAGAGACCGAUAGCGAACAAGUACCGUGAGGGAAAGAUGAAAAGAACUUUGAAAAGAGAGUUAAACAGUACGUGAAAUUGUCAAAAGGGAAGCGUUUGACACCAGUGUUGUUUUUCUGAAAAUCAAUUAAAGAACUGUUUAUGCUAAGCUGUUUAGACUUUAUCAGCUAUCUGUUUAGUUUUGAGCUUUUCUUUAAUGCACUUUUCAGUUAACAAGUCAACAUCAAUUUCUUUUGCUGUAAAAAAGCUUGAGGAAGGUGGCUUGAGAUUCGUCUUAAGUGUUUAUAACCUCUUGCCUAUGCAGUCGGAGAGAUUGAGGUCUGCAGCGUAGAUCCUUCGGGGCUAAAUGCAUUUGUGCUAAGUUAUAGCAUUUUAUAGACAACUUGUUGACUAUGAUUUGUCUUGUAGCUUACUCGCUUAUGUUAUUUUACCUACGCUUAGGAUGUUGAUAUGCAUGACUGAUAU